ACUCCUACGGGAGGCAGCAGUGGGGAAUAUUGGACAAUGGGCGCAAGCCUGAUCCAGCCAUGCCGCGUGAGUGAUGAAGGCCCUAGGGUUGUAAAGCUCUUUCACCGGUGAAGAUAAUGACGGUAACCGGAGAAGAAGCCCCGGCUAACUUCGUGCCAGCAGCCGCGGUAAUACGAAGGGGGCUAGCGUUGUUCGGAUUUACUGGGCGUAAAGCGCACGUGGCGGACUAUUAAGUCAGGGGUGAAAUCCCGGGGCUCAACCCCGGAACUGCCUUUGAUACUGGUAGUCUUGAGUUCGAGAGAGGUGAGUGGAAUUCCGAGGGUAGAGGUGAAAUUCGUAGAUAUUCGGAGGAACACCAGUGGCGAAGGCGGCUCACUGGCUCGAUACUGACGCUGAGGUGCGAAAGCGUGGGGAGCAAACAGGAUUAGAAACCCUUGUAGUC
RNAcentral lists this ribosomal RNA (442 nucleotides) under uncultured organism. Its description in RNAcentral is "partial 16S ribosomal RNA". It matches the Rfam family "Bacterial small subunit ribosomal RNA", at positions 335 to 795 of the family's 1533-position model. The record is from RNAcentral.